AAAUAUUUCUGCAUAUCUUGAUGGAAUUUUAAAACCUCACAUGGAAAAUUUACCUUCUUACAUUAAGGACUCUGCAGACUUUAUUACUAAACUCAAAGCAGUCCCGAAGUUAAAGGACAAUGCUUUUUUAGUAACUCUUGAUGUAAGUUCACUUUACAGCAAUAUUCCUCAUGCAGAUGGUAUUGACGCUUGUAAAUUCUUCUUGCAACAGAAUGGUAAUACCAAAAGCAAGCUUUCUAUUGAAUCUAUUUGUGACUUGAUAAAUUUGGUUUUAACAAAAAAUCAUUUUCAGUUUGAUGGAGAAAACUUUCUGCAAAUUCAUGGUACUGCUAUGGGUACGAAAAUGGCUCCAAGUUAUGCUUCAGUUUUUAUGGGCAAGCUUGAAUCAGAUUUUUUACAAACUUGUCAAUAUAAACCUCUCAUAUGGUUUAGAUUUUUGGAUGAUAUUUUCUUUAUCUGGGAGCACAGUUUUGAUAAGCUUCAGUCGUUCAUAGAAAAUUUAAAUAGUUAUCAUCCGAGCAUAAAGUUUACCAGUAGCAUCUCUAGGGAAACAGUAACCUUUUUGGAUGUUGAGAUAUAUAAGAAUGAUGGCGGUAUUAUUUGUACAAAGGUUCACGAAAAACAAACUAAUAUCCACCAGUAUGUAGAAUUUUCUUCUUCUCAUCCUAUGUCUUGUAAAAGGAGUAUUCCCUCUAAGUCAGGCAAAGCGUUACAGACGUCUUACCUCAGAUGAUAAUUCUUUUGUACAGGAACUGGAGAAAUUAAAAACUUUUUUUAUCAAAAGAAAUUAUCCCAUGUCGAUAACUGAUAAGUGUUUUGAUAAAAUAAAGUCAAUGUCUAUGGAUGAUGCACUAAUUAGUAGUAAAACAGAUGGCACUUCUAAUAACAUAAUUCCUUUUGUAUGUACAUACAAUCCAUCUCUACAUAACAUUGGGGAGGUUUUGAAUAAGUACUGGAAUUUAUUACAACUUUCUAAUAGGCAGAGUGUUCAGUACCUUUCUAAAUUCAAGCCUAUUGUUGCUUACAAGAGACCUACUAGUUUAAAUGAUAUUCUGGUUCAUUCUUCUUUUACAAGACCUAGUAGGUAUGGUCAAAUUUCUAAAUGUAAUAGAGCUCGCUGCUCACAUUGUUCAACUAUAAAUGAAUCUAAAUUUUUUACAUCUUCUGCAACUUUGAAAAACUACAGUAUUAGAAAGAGUCUUUCAUGUAGUUCCAAAAAUUAAUAAGCAUUAUAAAUGUUCAAGUUUUUUCCAGACUUUUAAUAUCCUUUUUGCUAUCUGCAUUUUCUCUGGAAAUAAUGUAUCUUCAUAGAUCCUUUACAUUGUGCAUUUCUGUAUAAUAUGUAUAAUGUUUUUGAAUGUUAAAUUACGCCAUGCUGUUGCAUACGUUUUGACGUCGUUGUUAUGACGUCAUGUUCCACAUGACGUCAUCAACGUUAUUGCUUGUAAACAUUAUACCCCUGAUGAAGGCAUUAAAAGCCGAAACUAGUUGGAAAUAAAUUAAAAACCAGUUUGAA
This is a long non-coding RNA of Mercenaria mercenaria, 1516 nucleotides long. RefSeq lists it as uncharacterized. The transcript has 2 exons. The record is from RefSeq and is a predicted model, not a curated record. NCBI's taxonomy places the organism in Eukaryota, Metazoa, Mollusca, Bivalvia, Venerida, Veneridae.